Molecule: ribosomal RNA, 492 nt
Filed under: uncultured bacterium
Lineage: Bacteria
Description: partial 16S ribosomal RNA
Rfam family: Bacterial small subunit ribosomal RNA
Source: RNAcentral
AGUGAACGCUGGCGGUAGGCCUAACACAUGCAAGUCGAACGGCAGCACAGUAAGAGCUUGCUCUUACGGGUGGCGAGUGGCGGACGGGUGAGGAAUACAUCGGAAUCUACUUUUUCGUGGGGGAUAACGUAGGGAAACUUACGCUAAUACCGCAUACGACCUACGGGUGAAAGCAGGGGACCUUCGGACCUUGCGCGAUUGAAUGAGCCGAUGUCGGAUUAGCUAGUUGGCGGGGUAAAGGCCCACCAAGGCGACGAUCCGUAGCUGGUCUGAGAGGAUGAUCAGCCACACUGGAACUGAGACACGGUCCCGACUCCUACGGGAGGCAGCAGUGGGGAAUAUUGGACAAUGGGCGCAAGCCUGAUCCAGCCAUACCGCGUGGGUGAAGAAGGCCUUCGGGUUGUAAAGCCCUUUUGUUGGGAAAGAAAAGCAGCAGGUUAAUACCCCGCUGUUCUGACGGUACCCAAAGAAUAAGCACCGGCUAACUUCGUG